Molecule: ribosomal RNA, 496 nt
Filed under: uncultured bacterium
Lineage: Bacteria
Description: partial 16S ribosomal RNA
Rfam family: Bacterial small subunit ribosomal RNA
Source: RNAcentral
AUGAACGCUGGCGGCGUGCCUAAUACAUGCAAGUCGAGCGAACGGACGAGAAGCUUGCUUCUCUGAUGUUAGCGGCGGACGGGUGAGUAACACGUGGAUAACCUACCUAUAAGACUGGGAUAACUUCGGGAAACCGGAGCUAAUACCGGAUAAUAUUUUGAACCGCAUGAUUCAAAAGUGAAAGACGGUCUUGCUGUCACUUAUAGAUGGAUCCGCGCUGCAUUAGCUAGUUGGUAAGGUAACGGCUUACCAAGGCAACGAUGCAUAGCCGACCUGAGAGGGUGAUCGGCCACACUGGAACUGAGACACGGUCCAGACUCCUACGGGAGGCAGCAGUAGGGAAUCUUCCGCAAUGGGCGAAAGCCUGACGGAACAACGCCGCGUGAGUGAUGAAGGUCUUCGGAUCGUAAAACUCUGUUAUUAGGGAAGAACAUAUGUGUAAGUAACUGUGCACAUCUUGACGGUACCUAAUCAGAAAGCCACGGCUAACUACGUG